GGCCAGCAGCCGCGGUAAUACAGAGGUCCCGAGCGUUGUUCGGAUUCACUGGGCGUAAAGGGUGCGUAGGUGGUGGGGUAAGUCGGAUGUGAAAUCUCGGAGCUCAACUCCGAAAUGGCAUUGGAAACUGCCCUGCUUGAGGGUCGGAGGGGGGACUGGAAUUCUCGGUGUAGCAGUGAAAUGCGUAGAUAUCGAGAGGAACACCAGUGGCGAAGGCGAGUCCCUGGACGACACCUGACACUGAGGCACGAAAGCUAGGGGAGCAAACAGGAUUAGAUACCCUGGUAGUCCUAGCCGUAAACGGUGCACGUUUGCUGUAAAAGGAAUCGACCCCUUUUGUGGCGUAGCUAACGCGUUAAACGUGCCGCCUGGGAAGUACGGUCGCAAGAUUAAAACUUAAAGGAAUUGGCGGGGGAC
RNAcentral lists this ribosomal RNA (417 nucleotides) under uncultured bacterium. RNAcentral's name for it is "bacterial SSU rRNA". It matches the Rfam family "Bacterial small subunit ribosomal RNA", at positions 506 to 921 of the family's 1533-position model. The record is from RNAcentral.